Molecule: ribosomal RNA, 422 nt
Filed under: uncultured bacterium
Lineage: Bacteria
Description: partial 16S ribosomal RNA
Rfam family: Bacterial small subunit ribosomal RNA
Source: RNAcentral
AAUUUUGUAUAAUGGGGGAAAAUCUGAUCCAGUCAUCACGCGUUGAUGAUGAAGGCCUGCGGUAUGCAAAGUAUUAUUGGCAGAGAAGAAAAGGUAUCUCCUAAUACGAUUUACUGCUGACGGUAUCAGCAGAAGAAGCACCGGCUAACUACGGGAUAGCAGCCGCGGUAAUACGUAGGGUGCAAGCGUUAAUCGGAAUUACUGGGCGUAAAGCGUGUGUAGGCGGUUCGGAAAGAAAGAUGUGAAAUCCCAGUGCUCAACCUUGGAACUGCAGUUUUAACUGACGAGCUAGAGUAUGUCAGAGGGGGGUAGAAUUCCACGUGUAGCAGUGAAAUGCGUAGAUAUGUGGAGAAAUACCGAUGGCGAAGGCAGCCCCCUGGGAUAAUACUGACGCUCAGACACGAAAGCGUGGGGAGCAAACA